CAAUUCUAACAGCAUAAGAGAGGUAGUGACGAGAAAUAACAGUACAAGGCAGUUAAAAUGCUUUGUAAUUGGAAUGAUAGAAAUUUAAAUACUUUUUAAAGUAUCAAUUGGAGGGCAAGUCUGGUGCCAGCAGCCGCGGUAAUUCCAGCUCCAAUAGCGUAUAUUAAAAUUGUUGCAGUUAAAAAGCUCGUAGUUGAAUUUCUGCUAGAAAUAACCGGUUUGCUUUUAUUAAUAAAAGUGGUAUCUUGGUGUGUUUCCAGCAAUAAUGUUCUUUGAAAUGUUUUUUACUUUAUUGUAAAAAGCAAAAUUCAGGAUUUUUACUUUGAGAAAAUUAGAGUGUUUCAAGCAAGCUAACGUUUUGAAUACUGCAGCAUGGAAUAAUAAAAUAUGAUUUUAGUUUUACGUUAUUGGUUUUAAGAACUAAAAUAAUGAUUGAUAGGGGCAGUUGGGGGCAUUUGUAUUUAACUGUCAGGGGUGAAAUUCUUAGAUUUGUUAAAGACAUACUACUGCGAAAGCAUUUGCCAAAGAUGUUUUCAUUAAUCAAGAACGAAAGUUAGGGGAUCGAAGACGAUCAGAUACCGUCGUAGUCUUAA
This 593-nucleotide ribosomal RNA is filed under the name Hepatozoon sp. Its description in RNAcentral is "SSU rRNA". It matches the Rfam family "Eukaryotic small subunit ribosomal RNA", at positions 446 to 1029 of the family's 1831-position model. Lineage: Eukaryota; Apicomplexa; Hepatozoidae. The record is from RNAcentral.